CCUACGGGAGGCAGCAGUGAGGAAUAUUGGUCAAUGGGCGCAAGCCUGAACCAGCCAAGUCGCGUGAGGGAUGACGGUCCUAUGGAUUGUAAACCUCUUUUGUCGGGGAGCAAGGCCCGCCACGUGUGGCGGGAAGGAGAGUACCCGAAGAAAAAGCAUCGGCUAACUCCGUGCCAGCAGCCGCGGUAAUACGGAGGAUGCGAGCGUGAUCCGGAUUUAUUGGGUUUAAAGGGUGCGUAGGCGGAAGGUUAAGUCAGCGGUAAAAUGUCGGUGCUCAACACCGGCCUGCCGUUGAAACUGGUCUUCUUGAGUGAGCGAGAAGUAUGCGGAAUGCGUGGUGUAGCGGUGAAAUGCAUAGAUAUCACGCAGAACUCCGAUUGCGAAGGCAGCAUACCGGCGCUCAACUGACGCUGAGGCACGAAAGCGUGGGGAUCGAACAGGAUUAGAUACCCCAGUAGUC
RNAcentral lists this ribosomal RNA (460 nucleotides) under uncultured bacterium. Its description in RNAcentral is "partial 16S ribosomal RNA". It matches the Rfam family "Bacterial small subunit ribosomal RNA", at positions 338 to 795 of the family's 1533-position model. The record is from RNAcentral.